RNAcentral lists this ribosomal RNA (459 nucleotides) under uncultured bacterium. RNAcentral describes it as "partial 16S ribosomal RNA". It matches the Rfam family "Bacterial small subunit ribosomal RNA", at positions 338 to 795 of the family's 1533-position model. The record is from RNAcentral.
CCUACGGGUGGCAGCAGUGAGGAAUAUUGGUCAAUGGCCGCAGGGCUGAACCAGCCAAGUCGCGUGCGGGAUGACGGUCCUAUGGAUUGUAAACCUCUUUUGUCAGGGAGUAAAGCGCGCCACGUGUGGCGUUUUGCGUGUACCUGAUGAAAAAGCAUCGGCUAACUCCGUGCCAGCAGCCGCGGUAAUACGGAGGAUGCGAGCGUUAUCCGGAUUUAUUGGGUUUAAAGGGUGCGUAGGCGGAAUGUCAAGUCAGCGGUAAAAUUUCGGGGCUCAACCCCGUCGUGCCGUUGAAACUGGCGUGCUUGAGUGAGCGAGAAGUAUGCGGAAUGCGUGGUGUAGCGGUGAAAUGCAUAGAUAUGACGAAGAACUCCGAUUGCGAAGGCAGCAUGCCGGCGCUGAACUGACGCUGAUGCACGAAAGCGUGGGUAUCGAACAGGAUUAGAUACCCGGGUAGUC